RNAcentral lists this ribosomal RNA (636 nucleotides) under uncultured bacterium. RNAcentral describes it as "bacterial SSU rRNA". It matches the Rfam family "Bacterial small subunit ribosomal RNA", at positions 215 to 842 of the family's 1533-position model. The record is from RNAcentral.
CCGCUUUUGGAUGGGCCCGCGGCGCAUUAGCUAGUUGGUGGGGUAAAGGCUUACCAAGGCAAUGAUGCGUAGCCGAACUGAGAGGUUGAUCGGCCACAUUGGGACUGAGACACGGCCCAAACUCCUACGGGAGGCAGCAGUAGGGAAUCUUCCACAAUGGGCGAAAGCCUGAUGGAGCAACGCCGCGUGGGUGAAGAAGGUCUUCGGAUCGUAAAACCCUGUUGUUAGAGAAGAAAGUGCGUGAGAGUAACUGUUCACGUUUCGACGGUAUCUAACCAGAAAGCCACGGCUAACUACGUGCCAGCAGCCGCGGUAAUACGUAGGUGGCAAGCGUUAUCCGGAUUUAUUGGGCGUAAAGGGAACGCAGGCGGUCUUUUAAGUCUGAUGUGAAAGCCUUCGGCUUAACCGGAGUAGUGCAUUGGAAACUGGGAGACUUGAGUGCAGAAGAGGAGAGUGGAACUCCAUGUGUAGCGGUGAAAUGCGUAGAUAUAUGGAAGAACACCAGUGGCGAAAGCGGCUCUCUGGUCUGUAACUGACGCUGAGGUUCGAAAGCGUGGGUAGCAGGCAGGAUUAGAUACCCUGGUAGUCCACGCCGUAAACGAUGAAUGCUAAGUGUUGGAGGGUUUCCGCCCUUCA